GAUGAAGAACGCAGUGAAAUGCGAUAAGUAAUGUGAAUUGCAGAAUUCAGUGAAUCAUCGAAUCUUUGAACGCACAUUGCGCCCGCCAGCACUCUGGCGGGCAUGCCUGUUCGAGCGUCAUUUCAACCAUCAAGCCCCCAGGGGCUUGUGCUGGGGCCCUGCGGCUGCCCGCAGGCCCUGAAAACCAGUGGCGGGCUCGCUAGUCACACCGAGCGCAGUAGCACAUCUCGCUCAGGGCGUGCGGCGGGCUCCUGCCGUGAAACCCCCCACUGUAACCCCAAAGGUUGACCUCGUAUCAGGUAGGAAUACCCGCUGAACUUAAGCAUAUCAAUAAGCGGAGGA
RNAcentral lists this unclassified non-coding RNA (342 nucleotides) under soil metagenome. RNAcentral's name for it is "partial contains 5.8S ribosomal RNA, internal transcribed spacer 2, and large subunit ribosomal RNA". The stretch from base 1 to 120 matches the Rfam family "5.8S ribosomal RNA", at positions 35 to 154 of the family's 154-position model. The record is from RNAcentral.